UUAAUUUAAAUUGAAAGUUUAACGAUGUAGAAUCUAGAGGCUGGCUCCAGAGGAUGGCAUUGAGGAUCAAAUAAAAAUACAAUAGAUAAGAAAUUUAAUGCAGAAAAAAGCAAAAUAAGAAAAUGAUAAUAAAAAAAAAUGAAGAAGGAGGAGAAGUGAAGUGGGAUGAAGUAAAAUGCAGAUUUGUCAAGGUGGACAGAGGCAUUUAUCGCUCGUCUCGGUUAUUUACUAUGGUGUCUCGCUUAAUCAUGCAUUAUACAGCCGAUGCUUUCAGACUCUUUGGACUCUGGAUGAACAGAACGCCGGUGAUAUCACGACGGCGGCACACAUUUUCUUGUACACGUCGAGAAAUUCAAGAGUCAGACGAGUAACGCAGCGGGAUACCAAUAAGAGAAGCUCUACUCAACUCAACUCAGUGUAACCAAAAGAAGGAUCCUGCCAGUGAUUGACUCACAUCAGAUGUCUUACAUAAGCCACAACAAUCCCAGCAAUUCACGGAAAUAACUUGAAGUAAAAAAAUUCCUCAAGCAAAGAGGAUCACUCAGAUGGAAUAAAAUAACUUGUUAGUAACUCACAAGUGCAUAAACAUAAAUAAAAUCCACUUCAUACUUUUUAUAGUUGAAUUU
Molecule: long non-coding RNA, 626 nt
Organism: Cotesia glomerata
Lineage: Eukaryota; Metazoa; Arthropoda; Insecta; Hymenoptera; Braconidae
Exons: 3
Source: RefSeq, a predicted model, not a curated record